UUAACAGCCCGGCGUAGCAAAGGCUGCGGACCUCGGUAUCUUUCCCUUUUUGAACAAAGGAGUGGAAAAUCCACUGUGUCCUCAAUUUUGGCAUUUAAAAAGACAUCCUGUUUUAAACGAAUCAAUAGGACAUUAAGGAACCUAGAAUAUCACCCAGUACCUAAGAGGUACCUAAUAAACACUUGUUGUAUGAAACUGAAUAUCACAACCAGCUAUUUGUGGACAAUAAGACCAUCAAUUGGUUAGAGCAAAGGUCAAGAUCAAAAUCAAAUUAUAAGAAAUAAUAUGAGAAGAUACUGUGAAUAAUUGUGACAACUUCAACUUGACCUAAUCAAACAAGCUGUCAAUGCCAGAAAAUGGGAAAUGGAAAAAGAUUAACCUGAAAAACAAAAGCCCAAAUUUUUAAGGCUAUAAAGCAGCAAGAUACACAAGAACACUUCUUCCAAAGUACUAAAAAUGAAUAUCACACAGAAGACAAUGAAGAUGCAUAUGAUGGAUGGAGUAGGCUACAAAAUCUAACCAUUGAGAAACUCCAAAGAACAAGAGUAAUGGAUGUCAUCAGGAAUUACAUAUAUUUCAAGUCAUCUCAAUUCAAACCAAAUCAGCAUGUGCCAAGCACUGUGCUAAGAACUGAGAAUAUAAAUACAAGCUAAAGAAAGUGAGUCCUGGCCCUCAAAAAAGCUUGUAUUCUAAUGGGGAAAGAUUAAAAAAAUUUUAAAGAACAAAUAGGUGAAAGGGAAAGGGAAGAAAUCUAGAGGGUUGAGAGUGGAGCCCAGGAAAGAAUGAAGGAGUAAAUCAAGACUGACCUGAAUACUUCCCUGAAAAUGAAAGUUCUGGGAAGAAAUGACAAAUCAAAGGAGGAAGUUGCAGAUUUUUCAAGGUUGGUAGGGAAAAAACUAAUCUUCCAGGAUGAGAAAGGUACUUAGUUAUGAUGGAGAAAGAAGUCUGGAGAAUUGGGAACAGAGCUCAGAGAUGAAUGAAGGAGUACCCUCCAAGGAUCACUGUGGCAGGUGCAUUUCCUCCACUAAAGCAGAUUCUAACCUCUCCUCAAUUCAGGGGAUGGUUUUUUUCUGAGUUGUCUCAGCUUGGAAGUUAUACCAUAUUUUACCACAUAAUAUCAUAUAAUACUAUGCUUGCUCUAACCUACUCGCUUCCAGACCCUGAGACUCUCUCUCUCUGGUACUGAGAUAUUCAGUUCUAAAUAUCCAAUCUGUAAUUCAUUAGUAUGGAACUUUCUCUGCAUUGGUGGAGAUCAAUACCCUCCUUCAUUUUGUAUGUGUGUAUGUAGGAGUUGGUGAAAAUGGAAAAGGGGAAUGUUUUUCAGUUUUCCUUUGAACCAUCCUCAAGCUCAGGAGAUUUCUUCAAGUUUCACAUCUCCAGGUUUUUUCAGCCUUUUUGGACUCUGCAGUCACUUCAGGCACUUCUGGCUUCCAGCUUCAAGAGGGAAAAUGGACAAGAUUAAUCUGUUGAAGGAAAAGACUCUGGGAAGACUAGAGAGGAGUUGGGAGUCUCCAUCAUAUCCUUAUCCUUAAGUUGCUACACUAAAGACUUUGGAGAACCUCUCCUUUGGUGAGAUACAAGACUCUCUCACUCUGUUUCUGUGUGUGUAUGUGUGUGUGUGUGUGUGUGUGUGUGUGUGUGUGUGUGUGUCCCUCUCUGUCUCUCUCUUGUCUCUGUCUGUCUCUGCCUUUUCUCUCUCUCUCCCUCCCUCCCCUCCCUCUCUCUCUGUCUGUCUGUCUCUCUAUUGUCUUUCUCUUGGUAUGUAACAUCACUCCCAAUGAAAAAGCUCUUUUUCUCUCAAUUGCCUGAUAUAUAUUCUAUAAUAUAUAUUUCUCUGAUUUGUUCUGUUAUUAAAUUGG
This is a non-coding RNA of Monodelphis domestica (gray short-tailed opossum), 1859 nucleotides long. The record is from RefSeq and is a predicted model, not a curated record. NCBI's taxonomy places the organism in Eukaryota, Metazoa, Chordata, Mammalia, Didelphimorphia, Didelphidae.